Molecule: ribosomal RNA, 385 nt
Filed under: uncultured soil bacterium
Lineage: Bacteria
Description: bacterial SSU rRNA
Rfam family: Bacterial small subunit ribosomal RNA
Source: RNAcentral
AGGAUGAACGCUGGCGGCGUGCUUAACACAUGCAAGUCGAACGAUGAAGGCUGGAGCUUGCUCUGGCUGGAUUAGUGGCGAACGGGUGAGUAACACGUGAGUAACCUGCCCCUGACUCUGGGAUAAGCGCUGGAAACGGCGUCUAAUACCGGAUACGAGCUUCCACCGCAUGGUGAGGAGCUGGAAAGAAUUUCGGUCGUGGGAUGGACUCGCGGCCUAUCAGCUUGUUGGUGAGGUAAUGGCUCACCAAGGCGACGACGGGUAGCCGGCCUGAGAGGGUGACCGGCCACACGUGGGACUGGAGACACGGCCCAGACCUCCGUACGGGAGGCAGCAGGUGGGGAAUAUUGACACGAAGUGGGCGACGAAGCCUAGGACUGCGACG